Molecule: long non-coding RNA, 1822 nt
Filed under: Linum usitatissimum (flax)
Lineage: Eukaryota; Viridiplantae; Streptophyta; Magnoliopsida; Malpighiales; Linaceae
Description: long non-coding RNA (LUSI_LNC003230)
Source: RNAcentral
UGCAGUCGCCCACGAUCCAGCUGAUGAUCUUCAACAUCAAUCUAUUUAAUGAUCGGAUCUUUUGCAUCUUCUUCACAUACCCAUUAGGUCUAUUCGUCGUAGUUGAUAAUACACUGCUCAGUUUUCUACUGCAUCUUUGUUCUUCAACUUCAAUUCUUGUAGCUGCAAUUCAAAUCCAAUGGCUCAGAGAAUACUCAAAAGAUGCGAAAUCAAACUCUGUAUUCAUGGACGAGCUGGAUUCGCGUUUGUUUUUGUUGUUUCUUCAAACCUUGAAUCCUUUGCUUUUUCUCGUGGAUACUACAGAUUCUGUUUUUUCAUUUUAUCAUUUGUUUAGAUUUCUGCUCGAUGAUGAUCAAUUUGCUUUAACCACACUGAACAGAGAGGCUGGAAGAUGAUGGCGUAGGUGUUGAAAGAAUCUGCCUUUUCUUUAUAGCUGUUGAAUCAGUUUCUUCUUCCUUUUGAUUCAUGAUUCUCUCGAUGAAGCAUCUUUCUGGGACAUGGACGAUUCACCAUCUCCAUGUUUCAGACGGAGGAAGAGAGAGUUUCAUUGAAUCGAUUGGAAGAGUCUCUGGUUGCUUCGGCGAUAGAGAAAAGCACAAUGGAUUCGUUGCUUUCGUCAUUCGUCUUCGAGCUCUUCUCUCCUGUGGAUAAACUUUGGCCUUGACUGAGAGCAUUCAAAAUCUGAUUACGUCGGUUCUCUCUUUUAGAGCUAAAGUGCCAUGCUUUCAUUCAGUUCGUCUGUGAAAUUGAAUUUUUCUGUACGAUUUUUCUGCACAAGUACUGAGGCUUUGGGGAAUUUGUUCAAUCAGGUAGUGACCCAGUUGCCUAAUUCUUUUGAAGUGUGCAAAUAUUGAUGGGAUCCGCUUUGCAGCUGAAGCUUUGAAAUUUUGUAUUCCUGCUGCCUGUAAUGCCCGGAUAUUUUGUUCAGUUUUUAAUUGAGUGAUUUGUUGUAAAAGUCUAUUGAAAUUUGAUUAUCUGACGAGAAGAAUUUUGUUUUGCAUUAGCUGAGGACAGUUCGAUAUAUGCCAUUGAGGAAGAGAUGGACAUGAAGAUGAAGAUGGAAGAAAUCUGAGUUAAUCAAUGAAUAUGAAGACUGCUUCUUUCUUCAGAUUUCUCUGAUUAGUCGAGUUUGAACACAGAAAUUGCAACUUAGCUUGUAUUUGUGACAGGAUAGUUGUGCAUAACUGACAUUAACAUCAACCUAUAAAUUUUAUCUACGCGAUUAGCUUUUCUUUAUGUAGCAUUUGUGCAGGUCCAAUUCUCAAACUUUUCGCUUGAACGGUGCCUCUAAUUGUCUACUCGAUUUGUGUUUGGGUACCGAACCACUCCUUUGAAGAACCGGUUCGAGAAUGAGACAAACGUUAGAAGUUAGAACAGAAGUCGACUAAGUAUGAUUCAAUGACUAAGGCUUGCUGGAGCCAAUUGAAUUUUCGAUUAUACUGAGAACCACCAGAAACCUUUUCUGGAUAAUGUAUGAUUCGUUCGUCAUUGGUGAUUUCUGCUUUAUUUUUCUGUGUUUGGUCUUUGUUUUUUCCCCCUAAUAAUGGUGACGGUGGGGAUAUUAGACGUGCAUGCCCACUUACCACGUAAGGUGUGGUAUGCAUGGCUAAUGAACCAUUAGGUGACCACAAGUCACAACUACUUCUGGUUUUUGUUUUUGUGUGUUUAUAUUUUCAAGUGAGUUUUGUCGUGUCUUCUCGAGUGAUGAAUAAACAUUUAAUUUGGAAAAGUUCGGUUGACCCGGCUGCUUUUACCCGAUCUUGCACAUGUACACUAAAACUCGUGCUAUUGAAAUAUUGAAACGCACAGCUGAAUUAAUAAC